RNAcentral lists this small RNA (85 nucleotides) under bovine gut metagenome. Its description in RNAcentral is "GA-cis RNA". It matches the Rfam family "GA-cis RNA". The record is from RNAcentral.
AGAGGAGAGCGUAUAUGAACCGUAGGUUCAUAUUUUGGGAUACGCUCGACGAUCUACCGCCGAGCGUAUGCGAGGGGGUAUUACC